Taeniopygia guttata (zebra finch) is the source of this 4949-nucleotide non-coding RNA. NCBI's taxonomy places the organism in Eukaryota, Metazoa, Chordata, Aves, Passeriformes, Estrildidae. The record is from RefSeq and is a predicted model, not a curated record.
GGUUGGUGUGCCACGAGGCAGAGGCAGGGCUGGGGUGUCCCAAGGGGGCUGGGGAACCUUUGGUGAUGGGCUCCAAACUCCCUGGCUGUGGCUCAGUGGUGUCAGUGCCAGCCCCCAGCUUUGCUGCUGCCAGGGAAUUGUCACUCACUCACAUCUGCUGCAGCUGCCACCAGGAGAUGUGGCCCUGGAUCUGUGCCAUUCUUCCCCAGUUACCACCACACCAGGAGCUGUCAGCCUGGCAGGACACACAGUUUUGCUUGCCUGGUUUCUUCUUUGUGCUUACUGAGAUUUGAGGCUUCUUAAUUAUCUAGAGAAAAAUUUUAAUCUCAAGAGAGAAAAGCCCAUGGAUUGCUUUUUCCUCCACCAGUGCAAACCCAGGGACAGAAAGACACUCACACAUAGGACAAGUUCUACCCUGAAGCCCCUGAUUCCCUUGGAAUUUUGUGGUGUAUUUUAGUGAAGGGAUGGAGGUGAACUGACUCAAUUUCCUCUGCCUCAGGUAUAUUAGGUAAAAUAUACACUAAGUUCCUGCUAAUGGCUGGCUGGAAGGCAAGAAUGAAUGGCCUUAAUAUGCUGAAGUGCAAGUGUAAAUAAUCCAGCUCAGACAGUCUCUAGGAAAGAUCUCAUUCACAGCCACAAAUCUGCAUCUACCAGAGCAGACAGGCAAGCAAACAAAAACCUUUCUCCAGAAGCAUUUUCUGAUUUUUAAGCAAACUCCACUUUUAUUUCAUUUAUCCUAUCUAGAGUAUUUGCACUGUAAUUGCAACGGAGAAGAGACAGUUCCAUGCACAAAUUUUAGAAAAGGAAAUAUUACUGGACAUUAAUAAAUGCAAAAACCUACUUAAUAGCAUUGUGCAUAUGAUUCAUAGUGAGAGUUUCUCAAAUUCUGUCUCUUUCAGUUGUAGACUGUGUCAGGGUUUUACUCUGAACUCAGUGCCUCACAUUUUGCAAUAGAAAAUUUCCAAAUUGUUAGUAAUUGGCUUUCAGCCUGCAACACAACUGGUGGAAAUUAGGUGGAAGCAACACUGGUUAUCCCAGAAGGCUGCUAAAAGCUGGAAUGUGGGUACAGAAACUAAUAAUCCUCCAGGCAUGUUUCUCAGCCCCCUGAUUUCCUGAACUCUGAGCACAUCACUGAUUCUCAGUGUUCAGGUACUCAGAGAAGCCCUGAGAUGUGUGACUUCAGAAAAAGACCUCAGGGGUUCACAGGAUAACAUUGGCACGAUGAGAAGCUGAGGAAAUGGAGUCAGCUCACCUCCAUCCCAAGCCCUUCCCAAGGACUGAGGCAGAGGCAGUUCUCUAUUUCUUUGCUGAUGAGCAAAGACUAAAUUGCCAGAAGACAUGUUUUCAACACACAAACUAAACAUGAACCAGGAUUUCACAUGUUUUUUACCUAGAUGCUAUUCCAGUUGAACAUUUUGUAAUUCCUCAUCCCACCUGGAAAGCUGGGGAGAUGCUGUCAUAUGUGAGAAGGGAGAGAGGCCAAUUCUGUGAAUUUAUUUCCCAAGAGAAUUAAAAUGAAAAGGCCAGGGGUCUGACUAGUCAGGGUGAUCCAUAACUUGGAUGAGAGGUUUUCCUUUGAAGUAGAUUGAAAAACUGAAGCAGCCAAGUUGAAAGGCUGAAAGCUUCUUCUUUUGCAUCAGGGAUUAGGCUGUUCAGACAAUAAAGUGGGAACUCUGUGAAUUAUAGUAGGGAGCAGGUCAAGCCAAGGUUGUGGCUGGGAUGGGAUGAAUCAGCUUUUCCUUUUACCAGGAGAGGGAAGAAAUUGCUCCAUGUGCUCAAUGCUUUGUGCUCUGCACUGCCAGGGCAUCAGCAAUGCCAGGUUCACAACCACAGGGAGUGAGGGAGGAACUUUGGUCCCAUCUAGACCUUUCCUAAAAACAGAUGCCUAAAACCAUGUGAGUUUUGCUCUCCCAGGAGCAGCUGGUGAUGCACGUGUUGCCCUGGGCUCUGCAGGACGUGAGUAUGGUGCUCUUGUUGGGGCUGAUGGGAGGAAGGAGAUUUCUCUGGCAUUAGAAUAAAUUCCUCUAAGAGCAGGGAGAGAUUUGCCUCUGCUUGGACACCGCAAUGAGCAAUGCACACAGAAAAGACUAAAAACCACAAAUUGGGUGGAGGCCCCUGAGCAGUAAGAGCUGCUGCAAUUUCACCAUCUUUUCUUUCAGACUAACCAGAGCAGCUCUGAGGGGUGGAGGCUGAUGGAACAGAGACAUUUUGGGGGGAAGAUCUGCAGCAGCAGGACCAGAGAGGUCAGCUUUAGUCAGGCUUUUUUCUAUCCUUUCAUGCCCUAGUCAGCUGUGUAGGAUGCAGGGAUGGAGCUCAGCGAUGAAGAACUUCACAGACACCAUUUCCAGUGUUUCCUGGCUGUUUGCACCAGUGCCAACCAAGGACUUGGAGCAUUUUGUCCCCUCCAUUUUGUCACACCUGCUUGGUGUGACAUCCAGCCAUGGCAUAAGCCCAGACUUGGACACCAAGUGAGAGUGGGCUCGUGUUUCCUCCCUGCUGCAUGUCAUGGCUCUGCCUGCAUGGAUGGGGAGCAGGAGCAGAGCUGGAGGCUGCUGUGCACUCCCAGGGCUGUGCUCAGGUGUGCAGAGUGUGCUGUACCAAGUGCUUGUUGUUACAGAGUUAUGGUGUUGACAUUUAGAUGUCACAGAAUAUUAAAUAACCCAUAAUUACAGUCUAAUUGUUCUGCCAGAGUUUUCAUUCCUUCAUAAUAUUGCAUGAAGAGCUUUUAUCUCCCCUCAGCAUUAUUGUGGCUAUUAUCCCCCCAGGAUGCCCCUCCAGCAUUCAUCCCCCCAGAUUGCUGUUCUGGGAGCUGCCAGUCUCUGUCCUGACUCCCCUGCAUGCUGUCCUCAGGAUGAGUACUGGGAUGGGUGGUUGAGGUGGAAUGUGUCACAGACAGUGCCCCAAAAGCACAUCAGAAGAGGUGUCAUUAUUCACAGCACACUUCCAAGCCUUGCUGGUUCUGGCAGAGGCUCAGCUUUGGCUGCCCAAACCACAGUUUCCUCUUACAGAUAUCAAGACUCCAGAAAGAGUGGAGCUCCCAGCGCUUCCAUUUCUUUGUGCUGCCCUGAAAGCCAAUGCUUCCACCUGCUUCUCUCUUCAGGCAGAUUUCCUGGAGGACUGAGCACACUGGGGCAGGACUAAGGGAGCUGCCCAGUGAGGCUGUGUGAGAGGGAUGAGCUGCAAGAAGAUGUCAUGGACAUCAGCCACUGCCUGAGUACCCAGCCUGUACUAACCUGACCAUGGAGCUGCACAGACGCCCCUUUCCAAAAACCCCUUUCCCUGCCAGCACCCAGGGAGGUGGCCAUUCCCAUUUGGGGAUGUCAAGAAAAUGAAGAUUUCUCUCUGCUGAUGUUUCAGAGAGUGGGUGGUGGCAGGUAUUCAUAAAGGAUGGUGGUGCCAGGUGAUGUCAGCAGAGAAAGAAAUGCUGAUGUGUGCUAAAACAACAAAACAUGGACUUUUAAAUGAAAAAAUCAAUGUCUUUGGCCAUCAAAACAUUUAUAUUGAAGUCAAGAUGGAAGAAAAUAUUUUUGUAAGUGUCAAGCUGGGUAGCCUCUUAAACACAUGCCUCAGUCACAUCCUGAACAUCACAGUUACUGAAGGAGUCUGUAAAGGGAAUAUUAACCAGUCAUCACAGCAAACCUCACAAUUUUGACAACCUCACAACUUUGACAACAGCCAAGAUAUUUGUAGCAGCUAUAAGGGAAACUCAGAAGGGGGAAAAGAAAGUGUUUAGAACAGGAGGACAAAGACCUAGGGGAGAUUAUAAGAAACCUCCCCAAGUUAGAAACCCCAGAGAUGAUCCUGCAGAUUGUCAUUGCUAUGGGAGAAGAGGAUACACAAAGUGAAGCUGUAAGCAACGACAAAAAGACAAAAAAAUGUUUGACGAGGACAAACAGAGGUGUCCCCUAAAUUCUUUGUGAUGUCUUUCACUAAUUCUUCCUUGAAUUUAUCUUGUACUCCCCCUUUAUCUGAGUAUCCCCACAUUCCACCUUUGGUAAAACAGAGGACUGGUUCUCCCCAGGGACAAAACUGAUAAUUUUGAGGGGCCCAUCCUCCCAUUCCUAAAUUUGUUGCCACACAGUAACUCUUCUCUCCUAUUGUACAGGUUUCAGGUUUUCCUGGCUCAUAACAUCUUGCAUUAAUAUGAGUGUGUGCUGCAAAGGCUCAGGCCAUGGUCUGGCCAUGCUUCACAUUUUGGUAGCACUUUAAGCACGGAUCAGUUAUCCCCUUCCAUGGAAGACUCAACAGUACCAUAAGGCCCCACAGUUUUAUUAUCCCUCUGCCUCUUUUGCCUACCAGUGCAGAAAUGGAAUUCCAUGUUAACUGACCAUUGGUGGAAUAAUUUGUUUGAAUGAGCCUGGUGAAGAAGUUGGGGUUCAUGUUGCUUUGUUCUGCAUUAGGCCUGUUGUUUAUACCAUGUAUGAUUCCAUGCUUUAUUAAGCUAAUACAUUCAGUAAUCCAGGGAAUGCAGAUUUCAGCAAUGCCCAUAAACCCUAAAAUAACAACCAUGGGGAAAAAAAAACUCACUCCCUUAUGAUAGUCAAGGCCAAAGCAGAACCAAAUAUAACUGCAACCCAAAAAGUAUUAGCUUGAUUUAAAGCAAAGACACUAAUCAAUAAUAUAAAGAAAAAGGGGAGGGAUUGUGGAAAAUGUUUUUUGUGCUUCAUGUCAAUUGGCAAUGGAAUCAGCAAAUGCUUAUAUCUGCUGCACUGAAAGUAGAUUCAUUCCCUGGGAUAACUACAAAGAAUGGUUUUGAAACUUUCUGUUUCAAGAAAUAACAAAAAAAAGCAUCAAGAAAGAAAACAGAGGAAGUAUAGUAGAGUCAAGAGAUGGGGUGGCAAAAAUGACUGAUGCUUAGAAUAAAAUAGAGGAAGCUGUGGUAAAGCUAAGGGAUAUUGCAACAAAGUGACUAAAUGCUUAUGUAUAAUAAAAAGCUUGAUGCAAUUGUA